This 1173-nucleotide small RNA is filed under the name Pongo abelii (Sumatran orangutan). Its description in RNAcentral is "processed transcript". The record is from RNAcentral. Lineage: Eukaryota; Metazoa; Chordata; Mammalia; Primates; Hominidae.
GGCACACCCGGGGCCCUGCGAAUCGGGGCCCCAGAUCGUGUCACAUCCAUAUGACACUUGGAAUGUGACAGGGCAGGAUGUGAUCUUUGGCUGUGAGGUGUUUGCCUACCCCAUGGCCUCCAUCGAGUGGAGGAAGGAUGGCUUGGACAUCCAGCUGCCAGGGGAUGACCCCCACAUCUCCGUGCAGGUAGACUGGUGGGAGAGGCUUCCCUCAGGCAGCCCAGGGCCCUCCAGAAGGACCCUGCUGAUUCCUUGCCUGGCUCCAGUUUAGGGGUGGACCCCAGAGGUUUGAGGUGACUGGCUGGCUGCAGAUCCAGGCUGUGCGUCCCAGUGAUGAGGGCACUUACCGCUGCCUUGCCCGCAAUGCCCUGGGUCAAGUGGAGGCCCCUGCUAGCUUGACAGUGCUCACACCUGACCAGCUGAACUCUACAGGUAUCCCCCAGCUGCGAUCACUAAACCUGGUUCCUGAGGAGGAGGCUGAGAGUGAAGAGAGUGACGAUUACUACUAGGUCCAGAGCUCUGGCCCAUGGGGGUUGCUCACACCCGAGAUGUGAGGUUCCAGGAGCGCCGACCCAGAGUUGCCAGGCCUGAAGGCGGCAGAGGCUCAGUCGCACCCUACAUCUCCCACCUCAAGAUUUUAAGUAUAGUCCGCUUGAAAUCCCUGGAAUGCGCUUUCUUCUGGCUCCUACCCGGAGAUCCGGAGUCCGGACAAACCCGGGCAGGAAGGGUCCGUCGGACCAGCUCCUCCCAAGCCGAGGCUUCCAGGUCUCGGCCGGGUUCUUCUCCCUGCUUUUAGCUGAGCCGGGCUGGGCGUGUCUCUCUCCUCCAUCUAGAGCAGGGUGUGAAGAGGAAGCCAGAGGGGGCUGUCUGAAAAUGACCCUGACUCCCUCCUCGGGCUGUCGUGAGGAAGAGGGCCGCUUCGCCUGGCUGCUCGUCAUCGCGAAGGCUCCAAAGAAGGGUUGCGCAGCCGUGCUGGUAUAACCGAGGGUGUCCUGGCGAAGCCCAGCCCCUGGCGCCCUGGUGACCGGGGAGUCGAUGUGCGGACUGGAAAGAACUGGAGCCCGAAGCUGGAGAGCGCCCCUCAAAGGGAAGCCUGGAAGCCCGACAGAUGAACCCGACUCAGAGAGGGCCAAGACUGCAGACCUUGGGGACCGAGGACACGCUCACCACGCU